CAGUCGCCACGGUAAUACGUAGGGUGCGAGCGUUAAUCGGAAUUACCGGGCGUAAAGCGUGCGCAGGCGGUUAUAUAAGACAGUUGUGAAAUCCCCGGGCUCAACCCGGGAACUGCAUCUGUGACUGUAUAGCUAGAGUACGGUAGAGGGGGAUGGAAUUCCGCGUGUAGCAGUGAAAUGCGUAGAUAUGCGGAGGAACACCGAUGGCGAAGGCAAUCCCCUGGACCUGUACUGACGCUCAUGCACGAAAGCGUGGGGAGCAAACAGGAUUAGAUACCCGGGUAGUCCCUGUCUCUUAUAC
RNAcentral lists this ribosomal RNA (301 nucleotides) under uncultured bacterium. RNAcentral's name for it is "partial 16S ribosomal RNA". It matches the Rfam family "Bacterial small subunit ribosomal RNA", at positions 509 to 807 of the family's 1533-position model. The record is from RNAcentral.